ACGGCAGCACGGAGAGCUUGCUCUCUGGUGGCGAGUGGCGAACGGGUGAGUAAUAUAUCGGAACGUGUCCAAUAAUGGGGGAUAACGAGUCGAAAGAUUCGCUAAUACGGCAUACGCCCUACGGGGGAAAGCAGGGGAUCGUAAGACCUUGCGUUAAUGGAGCGGCCGAUAUCUGAUUAGCUUGUUGGUGAGGUAAAGGCUCACCAAGGCGACGAUCAGUAGCUGGUUUGAGAGAACGACCAGCCACACUGGAACUGAGACACGGUCCAGACUCCUACGGGAGGCAGCAGUGGGGAAUUUUGGACAAUGGGGGCAACCCUGAUCCAGCCAUUCCGCGUGAGUGAAGAAGGCCUUCGGGUUGUAAAGCUCUUUCGCAAGGGAAGAAAACUUAUGAUCGAAUAAAUCAUGAGGUUGACGGUACCUUGAUAAGAAGCACCGGCUAACUACGUGCCAGCAGCCGCGGUAAUACGUAGGGUGCGAGCGUUAAUCGGAAUUACUGGGCGUAAAGCGUGCGCAGGCGGUUUUGUAAGUCGGAUGUGAAAUCCCCGGGCUCAACCUGGGAACUGCGUUCGAAACUGCAAGGCUAGAGUGUGUCAGAGGGGGGUAGAAUUCCACGUGUAGCGGUGAAAUGCGUAGAGAUGUGGAGGAAUACCAAUGGCGAAGGCAGCCCCCUGGGAUAACACUGACGCUCAUGCACGAAAGCGUGGGGAGCAAACAGGAUUAGAUACCCUGGUAGUCCACGCCCUAAACGAUGUCAACUAGUUGUUGGUAGAGUAAAAUCUAUGAGUAACGUAGCUAACGCGUGA
This 806-nucleotide ribosomal RNA is filed under the name uncultured beta proteobacterium. Its description in RNAcentral is "bacterial SSU rRNA". It matches the Rfam family "Bacterial small subunit ribosomal RNA", at positions 66 to 862 of the family's 1533-position model. The record is from RNAcentral. Lineage: Bacteria; Pseudomonadati; Pseudomonadota; Betaproteobacteria.